RNAcentral lists this ribosomal RNA (253 nucleotides) under uncultured bacterium. Its description in RNAcentral is "partial 16S ribosomal RNA". It matches the Rfam family "Bacterial small subunit ribosomal RNA", at positions 524 to 776 of the family's 1533-position model. The record is from RNAcentral.
UACGUAGGUGGCAAGCGUUGUCCGGAUUUACUGGGCGUAAAGAGCGCGCAGGCGGUCGUUCAAGUCGCGUGUGAAAGCCCCCGGCUCAACUGGGGAGGGUCACGCGAUACUGAUCGACUCGAAGGCAGGAGAGGGUAGUGGAAUUCCCGGUGUAGCAGUGAAAUGCGUAGAGAUCGGGAGGAACAUCAGUUGCGAAGGCGGCUCUCUGGACCAGCACUGACACUGAGGCACGAAAGCGUGGGGAGCAAACAGG